This 468-nucleotide ribosomal RNA is filed under the name uncultured bacterium. RNAcentral's name for it is "partial 16S ribosomal RNA". It matches the Rfam family "Bacterial small subunit ribosomal RNA", at positions 28 to 507 of the family's 1533-position model. The record is from RNAcentral.
GAUGAACGCUGACAGAAUGCUUAACACAUGCAAGUCAACUUGAAUUUGGGUUUUUUAACUUAGAUUUGGGUGGCGGACGGGUGAGUAACGCGUAAAGAACUUGCCUCACAGCUAGGGACAACAUUUGGAAACGAAUGCUAAUACCUGAUAUUAUGAUUAUAAGGCAUCUUAGAAUUAUGAAAGCUAUAUGCGCUGUGAGAGAGCUUUGCGUCCCAUUAGCUAGUUGGAGAGGUAACGGCUCACCAAGGCGAUGAUGGGUAGCCGGCCUGAGAGGGUGAACGCCCACAAGGGGACGAGGAAACGGCCCUUACUCCUACGGGAGGCAGCAGUGGGGAAUAUUGGACAAUGGACCAAGAGUCUGAUCCAGCAAUUCUGUGUGCACGAUGACGUUUUUCGGAAUGUAAAGUGCUUUCAGUUGAGAAGAAAAAAAUGACGGUACCAACAGAAGAAGUGACGGCUAAAUACGUG